UACGUAGGGGGCAAGCGUUGUCCGGAUUUAUUGGGCGUAAAAGGCUUGUAGGUGGCCACGCCAAGUCGGAUGUGAAAUCUCCCGGCUCAACUGGGAGGGGUCAUUCGAUACUGGCGGGCUCGAGGCCGGUAGGGGGAAGUGGAAUUCCCGGUGUAGUGGUGGAAUGCGUAGAUAUCUGGAGGAACACCAGUGGCGAAGGCGGCUUCCUGGACCGGUUCUGACACUGAGGAGCGAAAGCGUGGGGAGCGAUCCGG
RNAcentral lists this ribosomal RNA (254 nucleotides) under uncultured bacterium. Its description in RNAcentral is "partial 16S ribosomal RNA". It matches the Rfam family "Bacterial small subunit ribosomal RNA", at positions 524 to 776 of the family's 1533-position model. The record is from RNAcentral.